AUAUGUGCAUCCUGGUUCAUGC
This 22-nucleotide non-coding RNA is filed under the name Arabidopsis thaliana (thale cress). The record is from RNAcentral. Lineage: Eukaryota; Viridiplantae; Streptophyta; Magnoliopsida; Brassicales; Brassicaceae.